Paramuricea clavata is the source of this 1518-nucleotide non-coding RNA. The record is from the annotation of a GenBank genome assembly. Lineage: Eukaryota; Metazoa; Cnidaria; Anthozoa; Malacalcyonacea; Plexauridae.
GAUCGACAAAAAAUGUAAAUUACAUUACAGAAUAUAUUAAUACCAAUAUACCAUAAACUACAACAAAUGCGAAUACAAAUGAUAUAUGAAACAAAUAUAGAAUAAGGUGACUGCCAAUGCCUGCUUAUGUCAGACAAAGACUGAUAGAGCUAAAUCCUAAAUCCCUGCUAACACCCUGCUAAAUUGCUCAUCUAAAAAAUCACCGUCAUAUCCUCGUUGAACUAAAAGGCUUUUAAGCUCUCCCAAUGUUUUCUCCUACUUAUUUUUCUUACUACAAAUCCGCUUUAGUCUCAAAAAUUCAUUAUUCUUGGUUUGCACUUGACGUCAUAGCGGCCAUGUUGGAGGAACGACAACGAAAGAAUAUAUCAUUAGCAGCUAUUGUAUUUGGACUGUGUUGUCCUCCAGCAUGGAAGCUCUUGUCAAUCUUAAGGGAUUGAUUGCAAACCAUUAAUACGGUAUCCUCGCUUGAUGUGAGGCGAAUGGCAAGAUUUCAAAAAUUCAAAUAUUGAUGUGCAUCAAAGGUUUUUAAUACACAUCUAUGGUUGUCAGAUUGUAGCAAAAUUCAAUACGCACAAUUUAUAUUCAAUACACUCUUAAAAUAUUCAACAAACGUUUUAUAUUCAAUAAUUACCGAAAUUUUAAAAAAACUUCUGAAAUAUUCAGCAAAUUACACCGUAAAAUAUUCAAUGCGGCGAAAAAAGUAUUCAAUAAAACAAACAGCAAAAAAUAUUCAAUAGCUUUUGACCAGCGGUAUACCGCCAAAAAAAUAACAUCUACCACUGGCAGUUCCCGUAGAUUUGCCGAUUGCUUUAGUAACGGCGAACAUCUUGCGACUAAAUAUUUUUAAAGCGACAUGUUGCAUUUCAGUUUCUUUUUCGGUUUUAUAGAAGCAUUUUAAUCAUACUUUUCAUUUGUAAAUAUAAAAGUAGAUACUUAUAUGUACAACACUGCACGUAGCCUACGCUUUUUGACUUGCAAUGAGUAAUGUAGUUUGCUAUAUUACAGUAAUACUUUUAUAACAUAGUACAUACAACUACGAGUCUGACUCGUAUAUGCUGACUUUGAACCAGGAAAUGGUUACCUGGGCUGUUCUUGUGAUGUUUUCCCUUCGUGGGCGAUUGUAUAAAUUUACCGUUUUAAUCCAUGGAUUCCCUGCGGCAGACAAAUAGAGUCCUCUGCCAGCAGGGAAAUCCAUGGAUGGAAGAUCUGAAAUACGCAGAGUAGUGGAGGAAAUUAUCUCCGAAAGGGGUAGAGAUAAUAGUGGAAACCGUCCUCGUACUUUUGUGAGAGGUGAGCAGCCGUCAACUUAACCUGAACCGUCAACUAGCCAUAUCGGUGUUCAAAGCCAGCCUACGAAUCAGACUCGUCUUUGUGUGUACUAUAUAUAAAAGUGUUACGGUAAUACAGCAAACUACAUUAAGUAUUAGAUAAAAUAUUCGCAUCCGAUCUUUAUCUGAUAUACAAUCUCGAACCGAAGGUAAAUGAUUGCAAGACAAAAAGCUUACGUGCAGUGUUUAU